RNAcentral lists this ribosomal RNA (468 nucleotides) under uncultured bacterium. RNAcentral's name for it is "partial 16S ribosomal RNA". It matches the Rfam family "Bacterial small subunit ribosomal RNA", at positions 28 to 507 of the family's 1533-position model. The record is from RNAcentral.
GACGAACGCUGGCGGCGUGCUUAACACAUGCAAGUCGAACGGAAAGGCCCUGCUUUUGUGGGGUGCCCGAGUGGCGAACGGGUGAGUAACACGUGAGUAACCUGCCCUUGACUUUGGGAUAACUUCAGGAAACUGGGGCUAAUACCGGAUAGGAGCUCCUGCUGCAUGGUGGGGGUUGGAAAGUUUCGGCGGUUGGGGAUGGACUCGCGGCUUAUCAGCUUGUUGGUGGGGUAGUGGCUUACCAAGGCUUUGACGGGUAGCCGGCCUGAGAGGGUGACCGACCACAUUGGGACUGAGAUACGGCCCAGACUCCUACGGGAGGCAGCAGUGGGGAAUAUUGCACAAUGGGCGGAAGCCUGAUGCAGCAACGCCGCGUGCGGGAUGACGGCCUUCGGGUUGUAAACCGCUUCCGCCUGUGACGAAGCGUGAGUGACGGUAAUGGGUAAAGAAGCACCGGCUAACUACGUG